CCCUUAGAUGUUCUGGGCCGCACGCGCGCUACACUGAUGAAUGCAACGAGCUCUACCCUUGACCGAAAGGCCCGGGUAAACUUGUGAAACUUCAUCGUGAUGGGGAUAGAUUAUUGCAAUUAUUAAUCUUCAACGAGGAAUUCCUAGUAAGCGCGAGUCAUCAGCUCGCGUUGAUUACGUCCCUGCCCUUUGUACACACCGCCCGUCGCUCCUACCGAUUGAAUGUUCCGAUGAAUACCAUGGACUGAGAGUAUGAAUGGGUUCGCCUAUUUCUGCUUCUCGGGAAGUGGAGUAAAUCUUAACAUUUAGAGGAAGGAGAAGUCGUAACA
RNAcentral lists this ribosomal RNA (329 nucleotides) under uncultured eukaryote. RNAcentral's name for it is "partial 18S ribosomal RNA". It matches the Rfam family "Eukaryotic small subunit ribosomal RNA", at positions 1470 to 1796 of the family's 1831-position model. The record is from RNAcentral.